Molecule: long non-coding RNA, 3783 nt
Organism: Trachemys scripta elegans
Lineage: Eukaryota; Metazoa; Chordata; Testudines; Emydidae
Exons: 2
Source: RefSeq, a predicted model, not a curated record
AGGGACAGAUAAAGGAAAGGGAUAAAAUUGGGUUCCCAUUUGAGGGUCCAAGAUUACCAAAUGGUCAUAGGGCCAAUAAUUUUUUGUAUCUCUUAAUCGAGAGACCAUCUAAGAAGCUCAUAUACUGAUGAUCUAGCCAGACUGUCUUUGAAGAUAUUUAAACAAAAAUAAGGAAACUAUAAAGAAACAAUGCCACUCGAUAUUAAAUAUAAACACUUCAAAUGGUGACAAAUAACUCUAAUAGUGCUGUACCAACUUUGUUUUAUACCCUAAUAAACUAAGCUACCUAAGUAUUUAUUGCUGUUCAUAGCAUUACCCCUACAAUUCCUCAAAUGCUCUCUGUGAUUAUGGGCAUUAUUCUUUUUUUCAGUGCAACUGGCUUGUCUGUUUUUCAGCGUCAGAAGUUUGUAAUAGAAUUUAAAAGUUGAGCCAAUUGAAUUAUAUUCAAUUUGACAAGUUAAUAAGCUGGCCAAACCACAAUUUCUACCACACACUAUAUGCAUAAUUCUCUUUCUCAAUAAAACUUCAGUUUUGAUUUCCAUAACUCCCACGCUUGCUGCUUAUUCUAUAGGCUGAUAAUAUAGGUAAGCAGGCUAAUGUUCCCCUGUUCAGAAUAAAAUAAAAGUAUUGCAAGAACAUUAAUAGAAAGCAAGGCUUCUUUGUUUGUGCAAAAGUAGUUCUUUUAAAUUACAAAUGUUAAAGUGUAUUUUAGUACUUUAAUUUAGCACCUUCAAACCAGAGAAAUUUUUCUUACCGGAUGCACAAAACAGCCUGAAUAACUUACCAGUCAUUCAGGCUGUGAUAUUAACGCAGCUCUUCUCUGUUACAAAAGGAGAAAACCCUGCCCCCACCUUUCUUUUCCCUUUCCUAAACUUGAGUUAUCAUCCCAGAACUUAUUUAUUCCUGCUCUGGAAGUCAGUGGAGUCUAAAAUGGGAGCAGCAGUAAGAGCUGGUGGGGAUAGUUUCUGGGUUUACAUCCUUGCCAUUAGAAAAUGGAAUAGCAGCACUUGUAAAAGAACCAGUGGUGUCUUAGUUGGUCAUCACUUAUUUAGUUCUUCUCUUAUAAAAGAUCUGUCUCCUCAACAGCUGUCACUCUAUGUCUUAACAUUUAAAAAUCAGGAAACUUCAUUGAGUAUUUCAAAAUGUUCCAUAGGAGAAAUUCCUGGACCCUCUUGUUUUUAUAUUAAUAUUGAUACACCAUUCUGAAAAAGUCUAAAUCACAGUAUUUAGAGAAAUGGAUUGGAGAGCAUGGAUGUGUCCCUAUCCAGCUACAUACACAUGCUGUGGGGCUAGCUAUGGGCCUGCCCAGGAAUAUGAAUUCGUUUCAGAUACAUUUCUUCAUGACCUCAUUCUCUUCCAUUGUGCAGCAUUCUGUUACCACACAAUGAUGUGUAAUGCAAAUAGGUGACUUUCCCUUCCUAUUUUGAGUUACUUUAACCACUGCAUUUUACGUAGAGAUUUUGUUAUAGUUUCAGCUAUGUGCUGCUGUGCUUUUCUAGCUUUACCAGUCCCUUCUCUACUUUUUAUUUGAAGAGUCCAAUUCUGAUCUGGAUCUGCAGCCCAAAUCCUCUCCUGCCCCCCCCCCCCCGUUAUUCAAAACCCAGGCGUCACUUGCCUGUGUGACUAAAAAAGUUUCCAUGCCAUGGAGCCAUUAUAAUGGCUUUUUUACUAACUGAUGUAAUUUGGGGCAUCCUGCUUACUAUACACAUCCAACAGAGACAUUAUGACCUUCUCACCUUUCUUGGCAGAAACCAAAUCAUCUAAUAUCUGUAAGUUGAAUUGUGGCUAGGUUUAUUCUAUGUGCCAUGAUUAAAGCGCAUCACAAUGGCAGGCAAAUGUGGUGCAGUUGUCUUCCUACAUAUUACUCCUGCAGGAAUUCUGCGCCAAAAAAUUAAAAAUUCUGGCAUUUUAAAAUUCUGCAAAUUUUAUUUGUCAAAAUAACACUACAUAAUCACACCAGUUUCAAUUAUUUUGGUAAUUUAUUUCAAAGUACCUGUCAGCAAGUAUAUCUAUAAUGAUACAGAAACACAAAAAUUCCCCUAUCAGUAGAGAGUUAAAGAAACUCCUACAACAACGCAUUUCCUGCUUCUCUGCCCUCUCUCCUCUAGAGCCCAGCCAGGGCUCCCCCCCCCCCCCGCACCAAUACACCUCAACCCCUUCCCCCCAGAUACCUGCACCACCUUCCCACCCAGAGUUCAGCCACAGAGUCCCUCCACCCAGAAACAACUCCUCCCCCCUGAGCCCAGCUGCAGGAACCCCCAGCCAGACUCACACCCCCUGAGCCCAGGGAUCCAGCAGGAGAAACAGCCUGAUGCUCAGUCCCAGACUUGCACAGAGUUUCCUGUGCACCACUCUCUCCUUCCCUCAGGGCAUGCGGGGAACUGCCGCUGCCGGGAACCCUUUAGCUCCCUCUCUCCCCCCUGGCAGUAUCUUCUAUGGGCAAGCUGGGCUCUGCUGGGUCCAGCAGCCCCUAGUGGUGGCCUGCAGCACUGCAGCCUAUUUCUGUGGGGUAAGGAAAUUUUCAAUUUCUGCAAAAUUCUGCACUGCACAGUGGCACAGAAUUCCCCAUGUAACAUAUGCAGCGAUCUGACUUGUCUACAUGUCUGUUAAAACAACUCAGAGUCAAGAAGGGUCUAGCCAGAACAGCACAAGGCAAGUAACUUUGGGGAAAAAAGAAGACCGCAUCCUUUGGAAAAGCAUGGGUAUGAUUUUGAUCUGUUCCCAGGACAGCCUAACUGGAUGUUUUGGAAACAGUUGAAAAGCAGAUUCUGUGUCUGCUUUUACAGACUGAGCUCUUUCCACAACCCUUACUCAUUUAUAUUGCUUGGUUGAGAGGAGCUCAUACCACUAACAGCAGCAAAUGAUCUACAUAAUCAUUAACUGGUUCACCAUCUGAAUAAAAUGUUAUGUAAACUAAAUCCCAGGUGGAGACUCCUUCAAGACCACACCCAUACAGGAAAUCUUCAUUCACUUGACUGGAAUUUUAAAUAAACCUGCUGCAUUCCCUAAUGCUAAUUUUCUCCACGUGCUCUAGGCAUCAUAACCGCAGAUUUCAAUUCUUCUGCCAUAUGCAUCUUUUUCUUUUAAGUAUCCAUGUAGAGUAGUACAAAGCCAUCCACAAAUGGUGUACCAAAAAUUCUUCUCUUCACACAUUUGAGAAAGGUUCUUCCACAAUGUUUAUUUUUUUUUAAGUGCAAGGACUGUCAGUGUGAACAGCCUUGCAUGAAACAAUGGGGGAGGGACCUUAUGUCUGCCCCAACUUAUGAAUCCAUAUAAGGUGGGAUCACAACUUCCCCCACCAUAAUCACUGUACUUAAAAUGGCAGCAAAAUCUACAUUUUUUAUUUUAUUUUUAAAUGUUAUGUUCUGCCCUUUGACCACCACCUGCAUUUCCAAGUGACAUUCAGUCCUGGGGCUUGGUUACACCUUGGAUUUUCAUUGUUGCAGUUUGUUUUAGGCCUUCCAACCACAGAUAAGCAAGCAAUCUUGCCAUCAUUUUGUCUCUCGCUCCCAUCCCCAAUCAAUAAACUAAGGGCAAAUCCAGAAGUCUUUAUACUUAGGCAAAACUCCCAUUAACAAUCCUAUUAAAGUCAAUGGCAAUUGGAUUUUGUCCUCUGUCUGUGAACUAAAAAUUAGAAUUCAAGGAGAGAGAACAAGAAUAGACUGUAUGAAAUGUGUAAUGUACGUAGAAACUUACCUUUGCAAACUGCCUCAUUUGCAGACUAUUGAUUAGAAAUAACAUUUCACUGGAGGACAAUAAAGAGAAUGUGUGGUUUAAUUGCAA